RNAcentral lists this ribosomal RNA (624 nucleotides) under fungal sp. APA-2013. RNAcentral's name for it is "eukaryotic LSU rRNA". The stretch from base 245 to 397 matches the Rfam family "5.8S ribosomal RNA". The record is from RNAcentral. Lineage: Eukaryota; Fungi.
CUUGGUCAUUUAGAGGAAGUAAAAGUCGUAACAAGGUUUCCGUAGGUGAACCUGCGGAAGGAUCAUUACCGAGUGAGGGCCCUUUGGGUCCAACCUCCCACCCGUGUUUAUUUUACCUUGUUGCUUCGGCGGGCCCGCCUUUACUGGCCGCCGGGGGGCUCACGCCCCCGGGCCCGCGCCCGCCGAAGACACCCCCGAACUCUGUCUGAAGAUUGAAGUCUGAGUGAAAAUAUAAAUUAUUUAAAACUUUCAACAACGGAUCUCUUGGUUCCGGCAUCGAUGAAGAACGCAGCGAAAUGCGAUACGUAAUGUGAAUUGCAAAUUCAGUGAAUCAUCGAGUCUUUGAACGCACAUUGCGCCCCCUGGUAUUCCGGGGGGCAUGCCUGUCCGAGCGUCAUUGCUGCCCUCAAGCCCGGCUUGUGUGUUGGGCCCCGUCCUCCGAUUCCGGGGGACGGGCCCGAAAGGCAGCGGCGGCACCGCGUCCGGUCCUCGAGCGUAUGGGGCUUUGUCACCCGCUCUGUAGGCCCGGCCGGCGCUUGCCGAUCAACCCAAAUUUUUAUCCAGGUUGACCUCGGAUCAGGUAGGGAUACCCGCUGAACUUAAGCAUAUCAAUAAGCGGAGGAA